RNAcentral lists this ribosomal RNA (448 nucleotides) under uncultured organism. Its description in RNAcentral is "partial 16S ribosomal RNA". It matches the Rfam family "Bacterial small subunit ribosomal RNA", at positions 333 to 797 of the family's 1533-position model. The record is from RNAcentral.
ACACUCCUACGGGAGGCAGCAGUGGGGAAUAUUGGACAAUGGGCGCAAGCCUGAUCCAGCCAUGCCGCGUGAGUGAUGAAGGCCCUAGGGUUGUAAAGCUCUUUCACCGGUGAAGAUAAUGACGGUAACCGGAGAAGAGGCCCCGGCUAACUUCGUGCCAGCAGCCGCGGUAAUACGAAGGGGGCUAGCGUUGUUCGGAUUUACUGGGCGUAAAGCGCACGUAGGCGGACUAUUAAGUCAGGGGUGAAAUCCCGGGGCUCAACCCCGGAACUGCCUUUGAUACUGGUAGUCUUGAGUUCGAGAGAGGUGAGUGGAAUUCCGAGUGUAGAGGUGAAAUUCGUAGAUAUUCGGAGGAACACCAGUGGCGAAGGCGGCUCACUGGCUCGAUACUGACGCUGAGGUGCGAAAGCGUGGGGAGCAAACAGGAUUAGAUACCCUUGUAGUCCCA